UUAAGCGACUAAGCGUACACGGUGGAUGCCCUGGCAGUCAGAGGCGAUGAAGGACGUGCUAAUCUGCGAUAAGCGUCGGUAAGGUGAUAUGAACCGUUAUAACCGGCGAUUUCCGAAUGGGGAAACCCAGUGUGUUUCGACACACUAUCAUUAACUGAAUCCAUAGGUUAAUGAGGCGAACCGGGGGAACUGAAACAUCUAAGUACCCCGAGGAAAAGAAAUCAACCGAGAUUCCCCCAGUAGCGGCGAGCGAACGGGGAGCAGCCCAGAGCCUGAAUCAGUGUGUGUGUUAGUGGAAGCGUCUGGAAAGGCGCGCGAUACAGGGUGACAGCCCCGUACACAAAAAUGCACAUACUGUGAGCUCGAUGAGUAGGGCGGGACACGUGGUAUCCUGUCUGAAUAUGGGGGGACCAUCCUCCAAGGCUAAAUACUCCUGACUGACCGAUAGUGAACCAGUACCGUGAGGGAAAGGCGAAAAGAACCCCGGCGAGGGGAGUGAAAAAGAACCUGAAACCGUGUACGUACAAGCAGUGGGAGCCUCUUAAUGGGGUGACUGCGUACCUUUUGUAUAAUGGGUCAGCGACUUAUAUUCUGUAGCAAGGUUAACCGAAUAGGGGAGCCGAAGGGAAACCGAGUCUUAACUGGGCGUUAAGUUGCAGGGUAUAGACCCGAAACCCGGUGAUCUAGCCAUGGGCAGGUUGAAGGUUGGGUAACACUAACUGGAGGACCGAACCGACUAAUGUUGAAAAAUUAGCGGAUGACUUGUGGCUGGGGGUGAAAGGCCAAUCAAACCGGGAGAUAGCUGGUUCUCCCCGAAAGCUAUUUAGGUAGCGCCUCGUGAAUUCAUCUCCGGGGGUAGAGCACUGUUUCGGCAAGGGGGUCAUCCCGACUUACCAACCCGAUGCAAACUGCGAAUACCGGAGAAUGUUAUCACGGGAGACACACGGCGGGUGCUAACGUCCGUCGUGAAGAGGGAAACAACCCAGACCGCCAGCUAAGGUCCCAAAGUCAUGGUUAAGUGGGAAACGAUGUGGGAAGGCCCAGACAGCCAGGAUGUUGGCUUAGAAGCAGCCAUCAUUUAAAGAAAGCGUAAUAGCUCACUGGUCGAGUCGGCCUGCGCGGAAGAUGUAACGGGGCUAAACCAUGCACCGAAGCUGCGGCAGCGACACUAUGUGUUGUUGGGUAGGGGAGCGUUCUGUAAGCCUGUGAAGGUGUACUGUGAGGUAUGCUGGAGGUAUCAGAAGUGCGAAUGCUGACAUAAGUAACGAUAAAGCGGGUGAAAAGCCCGCUCGCCGGAAGACCAAGGGUUCCUGUCCAACGUUAAUCGGGGCAGGGUGAGUCGACCCCUAAGGCGAGGCCGAAAGGCGUAGUCGAUGGGAAACAGGUUAAUAUUCCUGUACUUGGUGUUACUGCGAAGGGGGGACGGAGAAGGCUAUGUUGGCCGGGCGACGGUUGUCCCGGUUUAAGCGUGUAGGCUGGUUUUCCAGGCAAAUCCGGAAAAUCAAGGCUGAGGCGUGAUGACGAGGCACUACGGUGCUGAAGCAACAAAUGCCCUGCUUCCAGGAAAAGCCUCUAAGCAUCAGGUAACAUCAAAUCGUACCCCAAACCGACACAGGUGGUCAGGUAGAGAAUACCAAGGCGCUUGAGAGAACUCGGGUGAAGGAACUAGGCAAAAUGGUGCCGUAACUUCGGGAGAAGGCACGCUGAUAUGUAGGUGAAGUCCCUUGCGGAUGGAGCUGAAAUCAGUCGAAGAUACCAGCUGGCUGCAACUGUUUAUUAAAAACACAGCACUGUGCAAACACGAAAGUGGACGUAUACGGUGUGACGCCUGCCCGGUGCCGGAAGGUUAAUUGAUGGGGUUAGCGGUAACGCGAAGCUCUUGAUCGAAGCCCCGGUAAACGGCGGCCGUAACUAUAACGGUCCUAAGGUAGCGAAAUUCCUUGUCGGGUAAGUUCCGACCUGCACGAAUGGCGUAAUGAUGGCCAGGCUGUCUCCACCCGAGACUCAGUGAAAUUGAACUCGCUGUGAAGAUGCAGUGUACCCGCGGCAAGACGGAAAGACCCCGUGAACCUUUACUAUAGCUUGACACUGAACAUUGAGCCUUGAUGUGUAGGAUAGGUGGGAGGCUUUGAAGUGUGGACGCCAGUCUGCAUGGAGCCGGCCUUGAAAUACCACCCUUUAAUGUUUGAUGUUCUAACGUUGGCCCCUGAUCGGGGUUGCGGACAGUGUCUGGUGGGUAGUUUGACUGGGGCGGUCUCCUCCUAAAGAGUAACGGAGGAGCACGAAGGUUGGCUAAUCCUGGUCGGACAUCAGGAGGUUAGUGCAAUGGCAUAAGCCAGCUUGACUGCGAGCGUGACGGCGCGAGCAGGUGCGAAAGCAGGUCAUAGUGAUCCGGUGGUUCUGAAUGGAAGGGCCAUCGCUCAACGGAUAAAAGGUACUCCGGGGAUAACAGGCUGAUACCGCCCAAGAGUUCAUAUCGACGGCGGUGUUUGGCACCUCGAUGUCGGCUCAUCACAUCCUGGGGCUGAAGUAGGUCCCAAGGGUAUGGCUGUUCGCCAUUUAAAGUGGUACGCGAGCUGGGUUUAGAACGUCGUGAGACAGUUCGGUCCCUAUCUGCCGUGGGCGCUGGAGAACUGAGGGGGGCUGCUCCUAGUACGAGAGGACCGGAGUGGACGCAUCACUGGUGUUCGGGUUGUCAUGCCAAUGGCACUGCCCGGUAGCUAAAUGCGGAAGAGAUAAGUGCUGAAAGCAUCUAAGCACGAAACUUGCCCCGAGAUGAGUUCUCCCUGACUC
RNAcentral lists this ribosomal RNA (2793 nucleotides) under Escherichia coli. RNAcentral's name for it is "bacterial LSU rRNA". It matches the Rfam family "Bacterial large subunit ribosomal RNA". Lineage: Bacteria; Pseudomonadati; Pseudomonadota; Gammaproteobacteria; Enterobacterales; Enterobacteriaceae. The record is from RNAcentral.